This 253-nucleotide ribosomal RNA is filed under the name uncultured bacterium. Its description in RNAcentral is "partial 16S ribosomal RNA". It matches the Rfam family "Bacterial small subunit ribosomal RNA", at positions 524 to 776 of the family's 1533-position model. The record is from RNAcentral.
UACGGAGGGGGCUAGCGUUGUUCGGAAUUACUGGGCGUAAAGCGCACGUAGGCGGCUUGCUAAGUCAGGGGUGAAAUCCUGGAGCUCAACUCCAGAACUGCCUUUGAUACUGGCGAUCUCGAGUCCGGGAGAGGUGAGUGGAACUGCGAGUGUAGAGGUGAAAUUCGUAGAUAUUCGCAAGAACACCAGUGGCGAAGGCGGCUCACUGGCCCGGUACUGACGCUGAGGUGCGAAAGCGUGGGGAGCAAACAGG